Molecule: ribosomal RNA, 1050 nt
Filed under: Klebsiella michiganensis
Lineage: Bacteria; Pseudomonadati; Pseudomonadota; Gammaproteobacteria; Enterobacterales; Enterobacteriaceae
Description: partial 23S ribosomal RNA
Rfam family: Bacterial large subunit ribosomal RNA
Source: RNAcentral
GUAGGGCGGGACACGUGGUAUCCUGUCUGAAUAUGGGGGGACCAUCCUCCAAGGCUAAAUACUCCUGACUGACCGAUAGUGAACCAGUACCGUGAGGGAAAGGCGAAAAGAACCCCGGCGAGGGGAGUGAAAAAGAACCUGAAACCGUGUACGUACAAGCAGUAGGAGCCCACUAGUUGGGUGACUGCGUACCUUUUGUAUAAUGGGUCAGCGACUUAUAUUCUGUAGCAAGGUUAACCGUAUAGGGGAGCCGCAGGGAAACCGAGUCUUAACUGGGCGUUAAGUUGCAGGGUAUAGACCCGAAACCCGGUGAUCUAGCCAUGGGCAGGUUGAAGGUUGGGUAACACUAACUGGAGGACCGAACCGACUAAUGUUGAAAAAUUAGCGGAUGACUUGUGGCUGGGGGUGAAAGGCCAAUCAAACCGGGAGAUAGCUGGUUCUCCCCGAAAGCUAUUUAGGUAGCGCCUCGUGAACUCAUCUUCGGGGGUAGAGCACUGUUUCGGCUAGGGGGUCAUCCCGACUUACCAACCCGAUGCAAACUACGAAUACCGAAGAAUGUUAUCACGGGAGACACACGGCGGGUGCUAACGUCCGUCGUGAAGAGGGAAACAACCCAGACCGCCAGCUAAGGUCCCAAAGUCAUGGUUAAGUGGGAAACGAUGUGGGAAGGCCCAGACAGCCAGGAUGUUGGCUUAGAAGCAGCCAUCAUUUAAAGAAAGCGUAAUAGCUCACUGGUCGAGUCGGCCUGCGCGGAAGAUGUAACGGGGCUAAACCAUGCACCGAAGCUGCGGCAGCGACGCUUAUGCGUUGUUGGGUAGGGGAGCGUUCUGUAAGCCGUUGAAGGUGGCCUGUGAGGGUUGCUGGAGGUAUCAGAAGUGCGAAUGCUGACAUAAGUAACGAUAAUGCGGGUGAAAAACCCGCACGCCGGAAGACCAAGGGUUCCUGUCCAACGUUAAUCGGGGCAGGGUGAGUCGACCCCUAAGGCGAGGCCGAAAGGCGUAGUCGAUGGGAAACAGGUUAAUAUUCCUGUACUCGGUGUUACUGCGAAGG